GUGUCAGCCGCCGCGGUAAGACGAACCGAGCGAACGUUGUUCGGAAUCACUGGGCUUAAAGGGCGCGUAGGCGGGCUGCCGCGUCCGGGGUGAAAUCCCACGGCUCAACCGUGGAACGGCCCCGGGUACGGGCGGCCUCGAGGGGGGUAGGGGCGUGCGGAACUGUGGGUGGAGCGGUGAAAUGCGUUGAUAUCCACAGGAACUCCGGUGGCGAAGGCGGCACGCUGGACCCCCACUGACGCUGAGGCGCGAAAGCCAGGGGAGCGAACGGGAUUAGAUACCCCCGUAGUCC
Molecule: ribosomal RNA, 292 nt
Filed under: uncultured bacterium
Lineage: Bacteria
Description: partial 16S ribosomal RNA
Rfam family: Bacterial small subunit ribosomal RNA
Source: RNAcentral